AAAGACUCAAUUCUUAGAUUUUCGUGUCCAACGUUUGACUGUCCAUCUUAUAUGAAAUUUUUUUAUGAUUAGUAUUUUCAUUAUUGUUAGAUGAUAAAACAUGAAUAAUACUUUAUACAUGACUUAUCUUUUUAAAAAAAUUUCAAAUAAGACGGACCGUCAAACGGACAUCAAAAUCCAGAAAUUGAUUUUUU
Oryza nivara is the source of this 194-nucleotide non-coding RNA. The record is from Rfam. Lineage: Eukaryota; Viridiplantae; Streptophyta; Magnoliopsida; Poales; Poaceae.